GAUGAACGCUGGCGGCAUGCCUAAUACAUGCAAGUCGAGCGAACGGACGAGAAACUUGCUUCUCUGAUGUUAGCGGCGGACGGGUGAGUAACACGUGGAUAACCUACCUAUAAGACUGGGAUAACUUCGGGAAACCGGAGCUAAUACCGGAUGAUAUUUUGAACCGCAUGGUUCAAGAGUGAAAGACGGUCUUGCUGUCACUUAUAGAUGGAUCCGCGCUGCAUUAGCUAGUUGGUAAGGUAACGGCUUACCAAGGCAACGAUGCAUAGCCGACCUGAGAGGGUGAUCGGCCACACUGGAACUGAGACACGGUCCAGACUCCUACGGGAGGCAGCAGUAGGGAAUAUUCCGCAAUGGGCGAAAGCCUGACGGAGCAACGCCGCGUGAGUGAUGAAGGUCUUCGGAUCGUAAAACUCUGUUAUUAGGGAAGAACAUAUGUGUAAGUAACUGUGCACAUCUUGACGGUACCUAAUCAGAAAGCCACGGCUAACUACGUG
Molecule: ribosomal RNA, 497 nt
Filed under: uncultured bacterium
Lineage: Bacteria
Description: partial 16S ribosomal RNA
Rfam family: Bacterial small subunit ribosomal RNA
Source: RNAcentral